GCCUGGCUGGCUCAGUCGGUAGAGCAUGGGACUCUUGAUCUCAGGAUUGUGAGUUUGAGCCCCAUGUUGGGCA
Molecule: transfer RNA, 73 nt
Filed under: Ailuropoda melanoleuca (giant panda)
Lineage: Eukaryota; Metazoa; Chordata; Mammalia; Carnivora; Ursidae
Rfam family: tRNA
About the family: Transfer RNA (tRNA) molecules are approximately 80 nucleotides in length. Their secondary structure includes four short double-helical elements and three loops (D, anti-codon, and T loops).
Source: Rfam by way of RNAcentral